This 86-nucleotide transfer RNA is filed under the name Rhizobium sp. MHM7A. RNAcentral's name for it is "tRNA-Leu". It matches the Rfam family "tRNA". Rfam says of the family: Transfer RNA (tRNA) molecules are approximately 80 nucleotides in length. Lineage: Bacteria; Pseudomonadati; Pseudomonadota; Alphaproteobacteria; Hyphomicrobiales; Rhizobiaceae. The record is from RNAcentral.
GCCCCGUUGGCGAAAUUGGUAGACGCGCCGCACUCAAAAUGCGGUUCCUAACGGAGUUGCUGGUUCGAGUCCGGCACGGGGUACCA